CUCCUGGUGUUAUGGAAAAAAAACUUCCAGCUGAUAUCCCUGCUACAAGAGCUUUGGCAACAAUCUACAAUGCAGUGAUUAAGGCAACUGUUGCAUUACCUGGAAAUUAUAGUCGAUAUGUUGAUGGUCCAGCAAUGCAUACUACAACAGCUAGGAAGGUAGAAGCAGUUGUGAAGACAUCAAAUGCAGAUAAAACUUUGGAGGAAACUAAGGGGGCUGAUUGGAACAACGUGUUGUCUAAAAAAGAAGACAGCAUCUCGAUUGUCUUCUCCAAAUUUUAAUAGAACACAAUCAAAUGAACGAGCAGCAGGUGUUAAGGAAAUUCUUAGCAAAAAUCUGUAUAACAAACACAAGGAUCCUUCAAAAGGAAUAUGUAGCACAGAAUACUUGCUAUGCAAUCUUUGGCAAUAUAAUUCAGGCACAUUAGAUACGAAGUGUGAUGAAAUAUAGAUGCAACAUGCUAUUACAUCAAACCAAUAUGGAAUACAGGCAAAGGUUUCAAGGGGAAGCAGAGAUAUGACACACAAAUUAUUCAAAUUAAGCGGUUAUGUACUGGAUAUAAGCGUGUUAUUCAAAUUGAGUGGGUAUGUACUGGAUAAGAAUUCCCCUUCAGUUAAAAUGGAAAGAAUCUGCAAUGCAAGCUACGUAGUUAUGAGCUCUCUCCCGUGCUGCCCAAAACUCUGGAAUAUAAGCAAUUUAACUGUCAAAAACACCAGCAACGACCAAUCUGAAUUUUCUAGCUCUAAAUACUAAACCAAAGUCUUUUUUAGAGACAACACUAGAAACUAGAAAUCAUCUAUUUUCCCUCUAUUCUUUUUCUUCACAAGGCUACCAUCUUUACAAGGAAAAAUGUCUUAAGCAGUGCCCAAGAGAGAUAUUAUUCCAUAUAUUUCCAUUUUACUGAACAUGACGAACCAAAUAAUGGACCAGAGAAAGUAAGUUUACAGGAAGGAUUCUGAGCUUUGACUUGUGAAUGCAGUCUUUCCUAUUCCGGCAAUAAGUAACUACAAUUGUCUCUGCAUGAUACCCUAUGUUUUGACUAGUAAAUGUCUCAAUGUGCAUAAACAUGAAUGAAGAUGCGAUGUUUAGAGGCGAUGCAUGUUUGUGUAGUUUUAAUUCUCCAAGAAAAAAGUUAGAAAAUAUAGUGGAUAGGGGUGAACCUACAGAGAGUUUGCUUGGGUGUCUAUGGACCAAUGUCUCAAUCUGUUCCAAUAAAGUUUCCCUAGAAGAUAUCAUUAGUUGAUGUCAAAAAUCCAAUAUAUGUUAGUACAAAUUAGAAAUAGAGCAGUGCCAAAGAGUGAAUCAAUUCCGAUAGGUACUACUUGAAAGAAUAGUCGACAUGUCGUAAAUUAUCAUAUUGACUUCAGUGGAAUCAAUUCCAGAUAUGCGAAGUAUUGUUUGGGUUUAAAUAAAAUCACAAACAGGUCCAUAUAUAUUUAGCAAUCUGAGAGAUCAUUGGAACAACUCCACAGAAAGUAUACUUCUAUAAAUUGGCUCUACUACAGAUUUAUAAAUAGCCCCUCAGGAAUUAUCAAAUGAAAGUCACUUACUAAUUGUUUAACCGACAACUUUGAGAAAGGGAGCUUGGGUGAAUUUAGAAGAAUUGCCAAACUUGAAAAAAUUACAUCUUUCCGUUAAUUUUUGCACCUUUUACUUGAUCCUAUGACAAUUGUGUUGAGACUAUAUGACAUAUUUGUGCUUAAGCUUUUCAGAAGCUUAAAAAAUAUAAAAUACUAUUUUUUUUUUUGCCUAAACAGUUCUGAAAAACAAUGUAAAGAAAAUAAGAAACACGAAAAUAGUUUCUGUAAUUUUUCUUGUCCUUUAUCUUCAUAGAUUUUCUCUUCUCCUUUCUCUUACUCUCAGAUACCUACUUGAGACAAUAGAUCAGAAAGUAAAAAAAUAUUAUGAUUCUUCUUUCAGAAAUUUUCUAUUUUCCACCAUCGUAUCAUGUAAUUACUUUAUGAUAUUUAGAAUUCACCUUGUAAGAGAACAAGUAGUUUGUUUCAUCAAAGAAAAAGACCCACGCAGAAGACUAUGGCUCCACUCAUUUACCUAUCCAAAACAAAAAUAUGUAUAAUCACGGAGUACUAAAACUCACUCCAAAUCAAUCUAUCCUCAGAAAUUAUCAUAUUUAUGGGUAUAUUCAAUAAUCAGCAUCAUCUCACCACUUUUUAAUUUCAAUCAAAGCUACUAACAGAUGUGCUCAAAUCAGUACAUGCAAUAUAGUCCAAAAAAAUAUGAACAUAAUAGCUAUAAUCAUUAGUUCCAAAUUAAACUUACAGAUACCACAACAAGCAAAAAGAACCCUAGAUACAAUGUAAACCCAUGACCGGGAAAAAUAGGCAUCCCACAACUGCAACUAAUAGUUAUAAAAGUGCAAUUAAUAGUACAAAAGCAGAAACGUACAUUGAUGAGAAGAAAAUUCACAAUUAAUAGUAAUAAAAGUCCAAUUAAUAGUUACAAAACCAGAAACUUACAUCGAUGAGAAGAAAACUAUACGAAUGAUGUAUUUUCUUUAUAUGCCAUACGCGAAAAUGACCAGACCAGCAGACGAGCAGGUGAUGGUGAGAAGUAACAGGAUAAGGCGGAAGUUCUUUUAACACGACUCUGAAGGUUUUGCGAUUAGUACGAACUUGUUUUGCAAUCAAAACAAAGAGAAGGUUAAGCAUUUUCAGUAUUAUUUUGGAAGAGGGAGGCGGGCUGAGAGACGUGGGAUGUGAAAAAUAAAGAGGGAAUAAGUAGC
RNAcentral lists this long non-coding RNA (2743 nucleotides) under Nicotiana benthamiana. RNAcentral's name for it is "long non-coding RNA (NBEN_LNC020134)". Lineage: Eukaryota; Viridiplantae; Streptophyta; Magnoliopsida; Solanales; Solanaceae. The record is from RNAcentral.